Molecule: ribosomal RNA, 460 nt
Filed under: uncultured bacterium
Lineage: Bacteria
Description: partial 16S ribosomal RNA
Rfam family: Bacterial small subunit ribosomal RNA
Source: RNAcentral
CCUACGGGAGGCAGCAGUGAGGAAUAUUGGUCAAUGGACGAGAGUCUGAACCAGCCAAGUAGCGUGAAGGAUGACUGCCCUAUGGGUUGUAAACUUCUUUUAUAUGGGAAUAAAACGUUCCACGUGUGGGAUUUUGUAUGUACCAUAUGAAUAAGGAUCGGAGAACUCCGUGCCAGCAGCCGCGGUAAUACGGAGGAUCCGAGCGUUAUCCGGAUUUAUUGGGUUUAAAGGGAGCGUAGGUGGAUUGUUAAGUCAGUUGUGAAAGUUUGCGGCUCAACCGUAAAAUUGCAGUUGAAACUGGCAGUCUUGAGUACAGUAGAGGUGGGCGGAAUUCGUGGUGUAGCGGUGAAAUGCUUAGAUAUCACGAAGAACUCCGAUUGCGAAGGCAGUUCACUGGACUGCAACUGACACUGAGGCUCGAAAGUGUGGGUAUCAAACAGGAUUAGAUACCCCGGUAGUC